CAGCCGCCGCGGUAAAACGUAGGUGGCAAGCGUUGUCCGGAAUUAUUGGGCGUAAAGGGCUCGCAGGCGGUUUCUUAAGUCUGAUGUGAAAGCCCCCGGCUCAACCGGGGAGGGUCAUUGGAAACUGGGAAAUUUGAGUGCAGAAGAGGAGAGUGGAAUUCCACGUGUAGCGGUGAAAUGCGUAGAGAUGUGGAGGAACACCAGUGGCGAAGGCGACUCUCUGGUCUGUAACUGACGCUGAGGAGCGAAAGCGUGGGGAGCGAACAGGAUUAGAUACCCCCGUAGUCCCUGUCUCUUAUAC
This 301-nucleotide ribosomal RNA is filed under the name uncultured bacterium. RNAcentral's name for it is "partial 16S ribosomal RNA". It matches the Rfam family "Bacterial small subunit ribosomal RNA", at positions 509 to 807 of the family's 1533-position model. The record is from RNAcentral.